This 233-nucleotide unclassified non-coding RNA is filed under the name Hevea brasiliensis (rubber tree). Lineage: Eukaryota; Viridiplantae; Streptophyta; Magnoliopsida; Malpighiales; Euphorbiaceae. The record is from RNAcentral.
CUUGUCUUCUCUGGUCUAAUUGCAAGCAGCAUUUACGACAGAGAAGCUGAAAGGCAAGCUCAAGAGCACCAUCACCACAAGUGGAAUGCAGGAUCAACCUUUUCUCGCUUUCAUCUGGAUGAACCACUGAAGUGUGAAGGUGCUGUAUGCUACUUCCUUAGUUCCAUGAUUAUGUCAGGCUUUUGCAUUAUUGCAUUUGUCUUGAGCAUGAUUCUUGUGCAUCGGACUAAGAU